AUACAGAGGGUGCGAGCGUUAAUCGGAAUUACUGGGCGUAAAGCGCGCGUAGGCGGCUUAUUAAGUCAGAUGUGAAAUCCCCGGGCUCAACCUGGGAACUGCAUCUGAUACUGGUAAGCUACAGUUUUGGAGAGGGAAGUAGAAUUUCAGGUGUAGCGGUGAAAUGCAUAGAGAUCUGAAGGAAUACCAGUGGCGAAGGCGACUUCCUGGCCAAAAACUGACGCUGAGGUGCGAAAGCGUGGGUAGCAAACGGGAUUAGAAACCCCUAGUAGUCC
This 275-nucleotide ribosomal RNA is filed under the name uncultured bacterium. RNAcentral describes it as "partial 16S ribosomal RNA". It matches the Rfam family "Bacterial small subunit ribosomal RNA", at positions 523 to 796 of the family's 1533-position model. The record is from RNAcentral.